ACGUAGGUGGCGAGCGUUGUCCGGAAUUACUGGGUGUAAAGGGUGAGUAGGCGGAAUGGCAAGUCAGAUGUGAAAUAUCGGGGCUUAACCCCGGGGCUGCAUUUGAAACUGCUGUUCUUGAGUGAUGGAGAGGCAGGCGGAAUUCCUAGUGUAGCGGUGAAAUGCGUAGAUAUUAGGAGGAACACCAGUGGCGAAGGCGGCCUGCUGGACAUUAACUGACGCUGAGGCACGAAAGCGUGGGGAGCAAACAG
RNAcentral lists this ribosomal RNA (251 nucleotides) under uncultured prokaryote. RNAcentral describes it as "partial 16S rRNA". It matches the Rfam family "Bacterial small subunit ribosomal RNA", at positions 525 to 775 of the family's 1533-position model. The record is from RNAcentral.